UCCAGUGAGAAUUUCCAUAUUUUAAACAGCGAUCCUCAUCAUCUCGAGUAUGUUUACCCUUUGCGCUUGAGUAUUUACUCCCAUUUGGCAGAAUCGUUUUAUAGGUUGCGCUCAAAUCUUGACUUGCCGUCAACAAAUCUCCCUUGCUGAUAGAUGGAAAAAUAAUGAACUGCACACGGUAGAAAUUUAUAUUGAUUAUCGGAGAUCCUUUGUUCACUGCACACAAAAAGCACUAAAUAUCUUUAAAGAAAUCAAACGUACACUAUUUUUCUCCUUUAAAAUUAACAAUUUUGUGGUAGAAAAACAAUUUUUUUUUCUAUUCCAGGCAUUUAUCAAUUAUAUGUAGAUGAAGAUGCACGAUUUUUACAUCACUGUAACCGGGUCAGUUUCCCUCUGCUGAAUGCAAUCCAUUUUAAUCUCAAAUAAUACUAAUUUUGUUAGAGAGCCUGUAGUACUAAAAAAAAAGUGACUGUCCACUGGCGACGAGGCCUUAAUUUAUUUACAGCGUUCAAAUUUUCAGAAGUCAAGAUUUUGUCCAGUUCAGUAAAAAAAUCAGAUUUUAAAAAAGGAAAAAAUACAAAAUCUCGGACCAAUAGACCAAAUUGCGAGCAGUUUAAUUAAUUAUUUUGCCAUUCAAAGGCACAUUUCACUAUAAUCUGGCAAUUGUACUAAAUUUUUGUUUAGAACAAUGUUAUUAAUGCGCAAACUUACCUAUAUACCCCCUAUAUAACUCCAAUUCGAUUGGACAUUUUGAACAUUUAUUGUCUUAUAAUGUUUGUAUCUGAAACAUAUUUGUAUGCUCUGUUAUCAUUAACUCAACGCUGAGUCCAUGCGUAUUAAGGUCUCUUUCCCUAUGGAUGGUUAAAUUAAAGAAUAUCUACUUAGUAAAUUUUUGCCUGAGUCAGUAUCAGUCAGUUCUUUGUAUCAUACUAUUUGUCCUCUUCUGGUCUUUUUUUCAGCAUUAUUUCAAAGGAAAACCCCAGUUGGAAUUGAAAAAUCCAACUGUGCUGAUCAGCGAAGGAAGCACAUAUAAGACAGCAAUUAUGAACAAUUUCUUACAAAUCUCAGCUGUGAUGAGUUUGUAAGUUGAUUCUUUGCUCUUACACCUCUUAAAAAUACUCUCAGUUUUUUCUUUUCUUUUUUUGAG
This 1147-nucleotide long non-coding RNA is filed under the name Bemisia tabaci. Its description in RNAcentral is "lncRNA ENSSWEETPG008661". The record is from RNAcentral. Lineage: Eukaryota; Metazoa; Arthropoda; Insecta; Hemiptera; Aleyrodidae.